GUCUGAGCGCCGGAAUCCCGCGGGGAGGGGGUGCAGGCGGAGCAGGGGGCUCCGGGGGCUUUCCUCGCGCUCUCCGGCCCCCGCCUCUCUCCCAGCGGACUCUCGGCCACUCUUCAGGUGUUUCCCAGCUUUUGGAUCGCAGAACUUCAACGGUGUCCCUGGAGGCAUACCUAGAGAUGUUAAACAAUGGAGCAAAGAACCAAAACCUUUCACCUAUUUUAUUUGAUCUAGAAACAAUCAAGUAAAAGUGCUGAAGUCCAUGUAAAAUGGAAACUGGAAUCUUCAAAAUAAGCAGAGAGAACGCAGGGCUGGUUUCCAUGGCAGCAGCUUGCAAUAAAGCCUAAUUCCUUGUGACAAAGAGGUCAUCUUCCUUUUCAAACGUGUUUAUGAUCCUUUUGUGCAUUGUAUUUUGGCAUAAAAGCUUCUCAGCACUGUCAGGGCUCCACGGGCAGCUCUAUGACUCUCAAGGGGGUUUAUUGCCUCUUUGGUAUAAGAAUAGCAGAAAGAAGCCAAACUAGUGCCAGUGUAACAAAAGAGUAACCCCACAGGCUUGCCCUUGUUUUCUUUCUGUAAUUCAUAAAUCUUCGUAUGCAUUGAAUAAUUAAAAAUGAAGGAUUCUGGGUAUAACUCUAAUUUUAUUUCGUGUUUUCCAACCUCUUUUACCGACUGAAAUACCAUAUGCAAACAAAUACAAGAAAACCAAUCAAAUGUAAGGAUAUGAUUAAUUUUUGUCUUGCUUUAUUUUCCAGAUAAUUUUGGAAAAGAAAUCAAAUAGGGUUAAAACCUUGAACAUACCUUUAAAACUAUGUGGAGGAAAGUCUAACCAUAACUUUAGAUAAGUAUGGUAUUAACGCAUGAAUGCAUCUUUCAUAUCACAAUGCCUAGAACAUGAUCAAAAAGGUUUUUAAGUCAAACCCAUCUAAACUUAUUUUCCUUAACUCUCAAAUUGCCAUGGCAGAAAUGUGGAAAUAGACCAGGAAGAAAACAUGAUUUUCUUGGGGGAGCAGUAAAGGAUCUUGAAGUCCUGAGUUCAAAUCCAGUUUCUCUUAAUUGGAAGAAAAUGUUUCGCCACAUCCACGUGACAGUGGGUAUGUGUGCAGGAAAGCCCCUCCUAGUUCUGCUUGGCAUUUGCAAAAGAAGCUCCUAUCCUUUUCAGGAGACCCAAAGAGUUCAUCUGACAACAUCUUCAGUCUGGGAAGUUCAGAAAGAGUGCAGUGAAAAAUGAGUUUUAUUUUUUGUGAUCAAAUAAUUUAAAAAGGACUUCAGUUCUACUUGAGUAAAACUGUUCUAGAAUCUUAGACUACUCUGCUCUCCUAUAACAGGGGAGAGAUUUCUAGACUUCCUAGAGUUUUUUCAAAUCAAAAGGGUACCGAACUACAGCAGAAAAAGCUGACCCGAUGAAGGCACCCGCCAGUGGUAUCUUCCCACCUUCACAUUGCUCUGAAUCUCUUGAACACUCAUGUCUUCCAUAACAACAUGUAUAAGAUGAUAAUGAUGAUAAGACAUUACAAAGCAGGCUGGAGCAAAUCUCUGUGGUGGCAACUACUGGUUAUUGCUCUCCAGCAAUUCAUCUUUUCCAGCUGUACCUAGAAUCUUCCAGAGCUGAGAAAAGCAUAUUUGCACGAAUACUGUGAAGUAGUGGAUGAGUGGGGGUCCAACUUUUUCGGCUUGUGGAAAGCUCCCACUUACUGCUCGAGGGGAAUUCUUUUGUCUGAGCAGCGGAACAAGAUAACCGACUUAAUCUUCCUAGUAACACAUUUUUCACUCUGAUUGAAGCCAGCUGCCAUGUUGUGCUAGGGACAGGCCCAUGUGGUGAGGCACCGAGGCCUCUGGCCAACAGCCAACAAGGAAGACACCUUCCGCUACCAGUCAUGUGAGAGAGCUUGGAGGCAGAUGCAUCAGUCCCAGUCAAGCCUUCAGAUGACUGCGGCCCCAGCGGAUAUUGUGAUGGAAACUUAAGGAGACUCUGAGUUAGCAUUAUUUGGCAAAGCCACUCUCCAAUUUCUAAUCUGUAGAAAUUUCAAGCUAACAGCCUUUUAUAAUCCUCUGUAUAUAAUAAUCCUUUGUUAUUCAAAGCUUCUAAGUUUUGGGUGAAUUUGUCAAGCAGCAAUAGAGAAAUAAUAUAAUAGAUAAUUAAAAUUCAAUUAUAGUGUAGAUAAUAUGACACAAGUGUGUAUUAGCUUCCAUGAUAACUGUACAGUGAUAGUUGCACAAUUAUUUUGAGACAUCAAAGGAGGAGUCCUUUACUUAGGUUGUGGAGAAAAAGAGAAUGGGGAUAAAGGAUAUCAAGGAGGAUUUUUUCAGGAAGUGUUGGUUGAGGUGAAUCUUCAAAGAUGAGAGGACAUAGGGAGUGACUGUCCCUGCAGAUGUAAGAAAAGCACGAAAAUAGUCAUCAAGUGACAAAGCAGCUUGUAGUGGGGUGGGAGGAAACAGGGUGACCUCAUACUGAAACCAUUAGCAGUUUGGUGUUUCUAGAGAGUAGAUUACAAGACUAGGAGGCAUGGUGGGCUA
Long non-coding RNA from Canis lupus familiaris (dog), 2511 nucleotides. RefSeq lists it as uncharacterized. The record is from RefSeq and is a predicted model, not a curated record. Lineage: Eukaryota; Metazoa; Chordata; Mammalia; Carnivora; Canidae. The transcript is spliced from 5 exons.